This 395-nucleotide ribosomal RNA is filed under the name Stramenopiles sp. MAST-3D. RNAcentral's name for it is "partial small subunit ribosomal RNA". It matches the Rfam family "Eukaryotic small subunit ribosomal RNA", at positions 582 to 975 of the family's 1831-position model. The record is from RNAcentral.
AUUCCAGCUCCAAUAGCGUAUAUUAAAGUUGUUGCAGUUAAAAAGCUCGUAGUUGGAUUUCUGGGCUGAGCGACCGGUCCGCCGCUGUGCGGUGUGUACUCGUGUUCGACUCGGCUCAUCCUUGUGGGGAAACGCAUUUCGGCAUUAGGUUGUCGAGGCGGGGAACCGCAUCGUUUACUGUGAAAAAAUUAGAGUGUUUAAAGCAGGCAAAUUGCUGUGAAUACAUUAGCAUGGAAUAAUAACAUAGGACUUUGGUUCUAUUUUGUUGGUUGGAGGCCAAGGUAAUGAUUAACGGGGACAGUCAGGGGCACUCGUAUUCCGCCGAGAGAGGUGAAAUUCUCAGACCAGCGGAAGACGAACCACUGCGAAAGCAUUUGCCAGGGAUGUUUUCAUUG